AUGAUAAAAACGUUACAUUUUGGUUCUGCCUUUUGGAAGACAGGGGGAGGAAGAAAUAAAUUCCGAGUGUUGGAGGACCUGGAUUUGCACUUAUCGGCUAUAACAAAACAUCUGCUGCUUUUGAAUAAAUCUCAGAUGCCUUUGGAUACAGACCUGGAUCCUGAGAUGGGCUUCCAAAGCUAUCAUGUUGGGACCCCCAUUUCCACCUCUCCGGGUGUCUUCGGCUGUGGUUGCUCUGUCCCCUUUGUCCAGCACAUUGCAGGGAUCAUGACUGACGGGACAGGACUCUAA
RNAcentral lists this long non-coding RNA (291 nucleotides) under Mus spicilegus (steppe mouse). Its description in RNAcentral is "lncRNA (ENSMSIG00000023240.1)". Lineage: Eukaryota; Metazoa; Chordata; Mammalia; Rodentia; Muridae. The record is from RNAcentral.